UUGAAAGGGAAACGAUUGAAGUCAGUCGUACCUGUGGGUAAUCAGCCUUUUGGGUGUGAUUAUGUGGAGUGUGAGGAGCUAAACGCCUUCAUGCCUGCAUAUUCGUGCACUUUGGGUGUAUUUACCCGUGUGGUAAGUUAACAUCAAUUUCGGUGGUCAUAAAAUGGCUGGAGGAAUGUAGCUUCGAUCUUGUAUUGAAGUGUUAUAGCCUUCGGUAGAUGUGAUGAUCGGGAUUGAGGAUUGCAACGGAUACCCCUCGGGGCUACCUGUCUGAUCUCUGAUCGUUGCUCUGGUGCCGAAAGCUUGCUUACGGUUAUCAAAGUCGAUGGUUAAUAGGUUAGAACGGGUUAAAUUCGUUAAGGAUGUUGACGUA
Molecule: ribosomal RNA, 373 nt
Filed under: uncultured Glomeromycotina
Lineage: Eukaryota; Fungi; Glomeromycota
Description: LSU rRNA
Source: RNAcentral